UUCUGAAAGGGAUACUUCUUCGGACAAUAUACAAGGUGCUGCAUGGUUGUCGUCAGCUCGUGCCGUGAGGUGUCGGGUUAAGUCCCGUAACGAGCGCAACCCUUGUCCUUAGUUACCAGCACGUUAUGGUGGGCACUCUAAGGAGACUGCCGGUGACAAACCGGAGGAAGGUGGGGAUGACGUCAAAUCAUCAUGCCCCUUAUGAUCUGGGCUACACACGUGCUACAAUGGCCGGUACAACGGGCAGCGAAGGAGCGAUCCGGAGCGAAUCCUAAAAAGCCGGUCCCAGUUCGGAUUGCAGGCUGAAACUCGCCUACAUGAAGUUGGAGUUGCUAGUAAUCGCGAAUCAGAAUGUCGCGGUGAAUGCGUUCCCGGUCUU
This 379-nucleotide ribosomal RNA is filed under the name uncultured Fusibacter sp. Its description in RNAcentral is "bacterial SSU rRNA". It matches the Rfam family "Bacterial small subunit ribosomal RNA", at positions 999 to 1381 of the family's 1533-position model. The record is from RNAcentral. Lineage: Bacteria; Bacillati; Bacillota; Clostridia; Eubacteriales; Fusibacteraceae.